Long non-coding RNA from Callithrix jacchus (white-tufted-ear marmoset), 3194 nucleotides. NCBI's taxonomy places the organism in Eukaryota, Metazoa, Chordata, Mammalia, Primates, Cebidae. The record is from Ensembl.
AUGUUUAUCAAACGUCGGAUCUGUAGAUAUUUUCUUCCAUUAUGUACGUGGUUCUUUCACUUUGCUGACAGGUUAGAAGCCCCCUUCUCCCACAUCCCUUCUGACUCCAUGUUUGGGUCCCUUCCAGGAACACUCCCUGGUGCAAGCGUCUUUCCCUCUCCUGGGUUUCCCCUCUGGGGUCCCCUUCCUCACUGUCUCAUGGAAGCGCCUUUCCCUCUCCUGGAUUUCCCCUCUGGGGUCCCCUUCCAGGAACACUCCCUGGUGGAAGCGCCUUUCCCUCUCCUGGAUUUCCCCUCUGGGGUCCCCUUCCAGGAACACUCCCUGGUGGAAGCGUCUUUCCCUCUCCUGGAUUUCCCCUCUGUGAUCCCCUUCCAGGAACACUCCCUGGUGGAAGCGUCUUUCCCUCUCCUGGAUUUCCCCUCUCGGGUCCCCUUCCAGGAACACUCCCUGGUGGAAGCAUCUUUCUCUCUCCUGGAUUUUCCCUCUGGGGUCCCCUUCCAGGAACACUACCUCGUGAAAGCGUCUUUCCCUCUCCUGGAUUUCCCCUCUGGGGUCCCCUACCACACUCUCCUGUGGAAGCCUGUCUUCCCUCCUAAACCCCAUCUCUAUUCCCUUCCACUCAGCGUGGAAGCUCUUUCCUCUCCUGGGUUCCAUCUUUCUGGAUUCUCUCACUCAGUGUGGGAGGAGCUUCCUGCCCUGGUUUCCCCCUCUGGGAACCUGCUCACUCAGCGUGAGAGUUUGCUUUUCUCUCUCCAUUUUCUCUCUUUAAAUAAAUCACUUUCUACAAACACUUUUGAGUCGUAUUUCCUGCGCACUGCGCCAUGGUCCCCUCUCUCAUUCUUGAGAGGGCGGGAGACCACGAACCUGGAGAAACGUCCUCUCAGGGGAGGUGAGGGCGCCCUGAACCCCUGAACCCCAAUAUUACAUGCUUACUUGUAACAGUUUAAUAGAUUUCACUCUUCGCCUUCCGCCAUGAGGAAAAGCUCGCUGAGGGCCUCCCGAGAAGCCGAGCAGAGGCGGCUGCCCUGCCUGUGGAGCUGCGGAACCAUGAGCCAGCCAAACCUCUAUUCUCUAUAAAUUACCCAGCCUCGAGCAUUUCUUUAGAGCAAGGAAAGAACGAUCUAAUACACCCAGAAAGCUGAGAAUGGCGUGAGUGAAGCAUAACGACCAUGGAUGAAUUUCAAAAUCUAAAAACAUAAAAUUAAUAUUAUAGGGGGAGUCAAUGCAGGAACAUGAGGGUGCUUGGGCAGAGGCUGUCACCCACUGGUCACAUGUGGUCAGCAGAGAGCAGGAGAACAGCACCCUGGGGCUCUGUGGGAAGCACCCACAGCCUGCAGCUGAGGUUUUAAUUAUAGGGGCCAAAACAAAUGGGGAAAAAGACAAAUUUAGCAUGCAAAGAAAACAGAUGCUCAUCUGAGUCAGGAGGAAGUCACCACCAAUAAGGAAAAAAAUAGAGCUCUGGAAAAGUAGUGAAAACAGUCACAAGGAAGGGCCCCUGUGUCUUGCCUGACUCUGGACAGGUAUAUAGAGAGCCCAGGCUCAGGGGACUCCACACCUGCACCUCCCUGUCUUCUCCUCCUCUACCUACUCCACCCUCAACCCACCAGAAACAUGGGCUGCUGUGGCUGCUCCGGAGGCUGUGGCUCCAGCUGUGGGGGCUGUGGCUCUGGAUGUGGGAGCUGUGGCUCCAGCUGCUGUGUGCCCCUCUGCUGCUGCAAGCCCGUGUGCUGCUGUGUGCCAGCCUGUUCCUGCUCCAGCUGUGGCUCCUGUGGGGGCUCCAAGGGGGGCUGUGGCUCUUGUGGGGGUUCCAAGGGGGGCUGUGGCUCCUGUGGAGGCUCCAAGGGAGGCUGUGGCUCCAGCUGCUGUGUGCCGGUCUGCUGCUGUGUGCCAGCCUGUUCCUGCUCUAGCUGUGGCUCCUGUGGGGGCUCCAAGGGAGGCUGUGGCUCUUGUGGCUGCUGCCAGUCCAGCUGCUGUAAGCCCUGCUGCUGCUCCUCAGGCUGUGGGUCAUCCUGCUGUCAGUCCAGCUGCUGUAAGCCCUGCUGUUCCCAGUCCAGCUGCUGUAAGCCCUGCUGCUCCCAGUCUAGCUGCUGUAAGCCCUGCUGCUGCUCCUCAGGCUGUGGGUCAUCCUGCUGCCAGUCCAGCUGCUGCAAGCCCUGCUGUUCCCAGUCCAGCUGCUGUAAGCCCUGCUGUUCCCAGUCCAGCUGCUGUGUCCCCGUGUGCUGCCAGUGCAAGAUCUGAGGCUCUAGAGAAAAUUCUCAGGUAGCUCCUAAAGAUCUGUGCUUCCCAACAAGUGACACCCCUGAUGCAUAUCCUCUUCCAGAGCUGAACAAUGAGUCCCCUGCUCAGGGCUUCUUUCUCCAGCCCUUGAGGAAAUGGAUGAACUAUUCCCUAUGAGGAUAUUCCAUGACCCAGGCACUCUCGCCCCUCCUUCCCACAUGCUGCGAUGUGUCUCAGCGGGACUGCACCUGGAUAGGGCCCUCAUGUCAAGGAGGUGCCUGGAAUUCCCCUUCCUGAUAAUUCCAUGGGAGACAGCAAACCUUUCUUUCCUGCCUCUGCCAGAAGUUCCAUGGCAUUUGAAGAUGGAUGUCCUAUAACCCAAAUGAUCAUGUGUAUCUAGGGAAAUCCAAAAUGGAUCUGGGUGCAGCACUAAAUAAAUUCUCCACCCAUCAGCCUGGGUCGCACUGACUCUUUUCUUCCAGUCUCUGUCUCAUUGGCAAACUGGCCACGUGUCCUUUUCCUCCCUCCCUGAGAGCUUAUUCCUCCCACUGCUGUGACUGUUUGCCAGGCCCAGAUCCCAUUCCCCCCAGAAACAGUCGUUGAACUGCUUAAUGGAGGAAUCACUAGUGUCCUGGAUGAAUGAAUGAGGAUGAGUGAAUAAAUGAGUGAAUGAGUGAGUAUGUCUCAAUAGCACACAGGGAGCCGCAGCUCGUCUCAAUGGAAUUCAGUCUGUUUUGGUCGGAAUCAUGGACUCCUGGUUCUUCCCCAUAGGAGGCUAUGUUUACGGGAGAAGGAGAUUUUUGCCCUCAGUGUCUAGGAAGGGGUGUAAUGGGUGGUCUCUGUGCCCAGGCAGGGCCCAGAGUGGGGGUCAAGCCAGGAGAGGGGGAAGCGGGACCACAAUGAGCUGUGUCCCUUAGAUGCUCUGUAGGACAGCACUGGGAACUGUUGCUCCAGGGACCCAAGACGCUGUGGCCGAG